This 510-nucleotide ribosomal RNA is filed under the name uncultured bacterium. RNAcentral's name for it is "partial 16S ribosomal RNA". It matches the Rfam family "Bacterial small subunit ribosomal RNA", at positions 28 to 507 of the family's 1533-position model. The record is from RNAcentral.
GACGAACGCUGGCGGCGUGCUUAACACAUGCAAGUCGAACGAAGAGCGAUGGAAGCUUGCUUCUAUCAAUCUUAGUGGCGAACGGGUGAGUAACGCGUAAUCAACCUGCCCUUCAGAGGGGGACAACAGUUGGAAACGACUGCUAAUACCGCAUACGAUCUAAUCUCGGCAUCGAGGAAAGAUGAAAGGUGGCCUCUAUUUAUAAGCUAUCACUGAAGGAGGGGAUUGCGUCUGAUUAGCUAGUUGGAGGGGUAACGGCCCACCGAGGCGAUGAUCAGUAGCCGGUCUGAGAGGAUGAACGGCCACAUUGGGACUGAGACACGGCCCAGACUCCUACGGGAGGCAGCAGUGGGGAAUCUUCCGCAAUGGACGAAAGUCUGACGGAGCAACGCCGCGUGAGUGAUGACGGCCUUCGGGUUGUAAAGCUCUGUUAAUCGGGACGAAAGGCCUUCUUGCGAACAGUUAGAAGGAUUGACGGUACCGGAAUAGAAAGCCACGGCUAACUACGUG